UACAUGGGGGUGCAAACGUUGCUCGGAAUUAUUGGGCGUAAAGCGCACGUAGGCGGUUCGUUAAGUCGGAUGUGAAAGCCCUCGGCUCAACUGAGGAAGUGCACCCGAAACUGGCGAGCUUGAGUACGAAAAGAGGAUCGCGGAAUUCCCGGUGUAGAGGUGAAAUUCGUAGAUAUUCGCAAGAACACCAGUGGCGAAGGCGGCUUACUGGACCGGUUCUGACGCUGAGGCGCGAAAAGCGUGGGGGAGCAAACAGG
This 257-nucleotide ribosomal RNA is filed under the name uncultured bacterium. Its description in RNAcentral is "partial 16S ribosomal RNA". It matches the Rfam family "Bacterial small subunit ribosomal RNA", at positions 524 to 776 of the family's 1533-position model. The record is from RNAcentral.